Molecule: long non-coding RNA, 216 nt
Filed under: Lathyrus oleraceus (garden pea)
Lineage: Eukaryota; Viridiplantae; Streptophyta; Magnoliopsida; Fabales; Fabaceae
Description: Pisum sativum (pea) long non-coding RNA (PSAT_LNC027810)
Source: RNAcentral
AAAACACAAAAAAUUCAAAUAAAGGAAGCCAAAAGAACUAAUAUCAAAGUUUUUUUGGAGAAAAACAAAUCAUAACACAUAAAUUGACGAGAUCAAUUUGUCGCGGCUUGAAAAAUACGCGAGCGAAUAUAUGCUCGAAUGAUAAUGAAGUCGGAACCAAAUUUAUUUUAAAAAGAGAAAACGUCGAUAAAACCUUAAAAGAAAAAAAGAAAGAUG